Molecule: non-coding RNA, 25 nt
Filed under: Rattus norvegicus (Norway rat)
Lineage: Eukaryota; Metazoa; Chordata; Mammalia; Rodentia; Muridae
Source: RNAcentral
GGACUUGGUCUUCUGUCGAUGUGUC